RNAcentral lists this ribosomal RNA (356 nucleotides) under uncultured bacterium. RNAcentral's name for it is "bacterial SSU rRNA". It matches the Rfam family "Bacterial small subunit ribosomal RNA", at positions 28 to 368 of the family's 1533-position model. The record is from RNAcentral.
GAUGAACGCUAGCUACAGGCCUAACACAUGCAAGUCGAGGGGCAGCGGGAAGGAAGCUUGCUUUCUUCGCCGGCGACCGGCGCACGGGUGCGUAACGCGUAUCGAACCUACCCUUUACUCGGGAACAGCCUUGCGAAAGCAAGAUUAAUGCCCGAUGUUCCGCGUUUGCCGCAUGGCAAAUUCGGACAAAGUAUUUAUUAGGUAAAGGAUGGCGAUGCGUCCCAUUAGUUAGUUGGCGGGUAACGGCCCACCAAGACGACGAGUGGGGUAGGGGUUCUGAGAGGAACGGUCCCCCCACAUUGGAACUGAGACACGGUACCAAACUCCUACGGGAGGCAGCAGUGAGGAAUAUUGGU